CUUUGAGUUAGAGGUUGCAUUUUUAAUCAGUAACUUUUCAAUGGCUUGAUGGAGCCCAGAUUGAAAUAGCAAAAGGUAAAAAUGCCGAAACACACAAUAACCAUUAUUGUUGUGUGUUGGGUCAGUCAUCGAUAAGAUACUGGACUGUCACAUAUGUGAUGUGCUACCUAGUAU
Non-coding RNA from Staphylococcus saprophyticus, 174 nucleotides. Lineage: Bacteria; Bacillati; Bacillota; Bacilli; Caryophanales; Staphylococcaceae. The record is from Rfam.